RNAcentral lists this long non-coding RNA (464 nucleotides) under Pan troglodytes (chimpanzee). RNAcentral's name for it is "long non-coding RNA NONPTRT017783". The record is from RNAcentral. Lineage: Eukaryota; Metazoa; Chordata; Mammalia; Primates; Hominidae.
ACAGUGGGGCUGUGAGUAUGGAAUGGCCUCUGAGUUGGACUAAGGCCUGUGGCUCCUCUGUGACCUCUGAUUUGUGCCCUUUGCCCUUCUAGACUCUAGCCUUGUCACCUCAUCUUGCCCCCUUGGUUUUGGAAGUCCUGAAGAGUUGGUCUGGAGGAGGAGGAGGACAUUGAUGUGCUUGGUGUGUGGCCAGUGGUGAAGAGAUGGCUGCUCCUGUCCCAUGGGCCUGCUGUGCUGUGCUUGCUGCCGCUGCCGCAGUUGUCUACGCCCAGAGACACAGUCCACAGGAGGCACCCCAUGUGCAGUACGAGCGCCUGGGCUCUGACGUGACACUGCCAUGUGGGACAGCAAACUGGGAUGCUGCGGUGACGUGGAGGGUAAAUGGGACAGACCUGGCCCCUGACCUGCUCAACGGCUCUCAGCUGGUGCUCCGUGGCCUGGAACUGGGCCACAGUGGUCUCUAC